GGAAGGAGCCGACUACUACGUCCUGGCCUCGCUCGGCUCCUCGUGCAGCGUGCACCAUGCGAGCGAGAGUCGGCUGCUACAUCCUCGCCAUACUCCGCCCCUCGUGCCGUAACCACCGCGUGGGCCGCUCCAAGCGCGUCAGGAAGGCCGCGGGGGUGCAGCCACUGCUGAUGUCGCGGCCUUCAUCCGAGGAGGCCAACCUCAAACGUCUCCUAUCGAAGGACCUGCCGUCCUUGGCCGCCGGCGUCGGGUCCCUCUGCUAGAGGCUCACAGGUGUUGUUCGCCCGGUGGGGCUACGAGGCGCGGCACCAGGAGCUCCAGCGGCAGCACGAGAGGAUGGAGAGGUACAUGAUUUGUGGCGACACGUAGGUACCUACUCCCGCCGCUCCUUGACAACCCAUGGACGACACUCUGGCCUGCCGGCUCCUCCCGCUGCACCGGCUGCGAGGCGGCGGCCGCGACAUACAUGUGCGAGCCGCCUUUCCACUGGUGUGUGACGCGGUCACCGUCGGCGUCACCGUCGGCUUCCGUUCCCCGUUCGGCUGCCCGCCCAAGAGACGCAACUACGUCCUCACCAGUUGGGCAACGGCGCAGCUCCAGGCAAGCGGCCGCAGGUAUAUUCACCAUCGCCUCGGUUCCUCCGAUGCGUGCUCAUUCACUUUCAAGAGGAUGGAUCCACUUAACCGCAAUUCAGUGGUAUUUGUUGUUGAUUGAUGUGCACGAGUUCUUUUUUCUUUUUCAAGAUUCAUUUGUGAACUGCCGUCUGCAUGCUUUACAAAUUAUGUUGUACAACUGUGCAAGUGAAGCCCUAUUUCAGAAAAACUUCACAUAACAAAUCUGGUGUUGGCAGUUGUCUCUGGCGCGCUGGCGUUUGUGCCGGCGAGUUUGAGGAAGGAUGACAAGGCUCUGGGGAUGCGCACGUAUCAAGACCUCUCCGGCUGCUGCUAGCGGCGAUGCUGAAGAAAGCCGCUGUUAGUUUGUGGGAUUGCGCAAGAAGCGGCGAGGGCUGCAUCCGCCCGACACCGGCUGUUCCUUUUCCUAGCCUCCAGUCUCACUCGCAGGCUCGCAGCACACAGCACAAAAGCAGCGGCAAGCGAGGAAGGCGCGGUGUUGUUGAUCGCCGUAGCUGCACCGACGGUUCGUCAUUGCCCUGCACCAACUCGAUGGCCCCAAGUUCCUACUCCAAAGCAGAUCAAAAGGAGCUGAUGAAGGUGCAAAGCCUGACAGACGAAGUGAAGAGCCAUUUCCGCAAGUAAUUUCGGACGGCGGGGGUAUAUAUAAGUGUUCUUUCUCAGGGCAUGUAUUCGAUUAGCAGAAAAUUGGUGAACAUGUAGUGCCAAACAUCAGGAGUGCAAUGAUGAGUUUUGCCGUGGAGGUGGGCGCGAAAAAAUUAGAAGAUGAUGGGGUCAUAUCUAACGAGGAAAUUGCACAAUAGAUUUUCAAUGGUGUCGAUAUUGAGGAGGAAAUAUUUGAUGUAUUCAUCAAAGCUUUGCUCCCAUGGUUCAAUCUGGAAUACACUGUGUAGCGCUGGAGGUGCUGCUGGCGAUGACAGUAGUUGGCAGAGGCAAAGCUUGACCUGAAAGAAGGCAUGCUUAGUUUAUUUUUAGUUAUGUAAUACAGUACAUACUGUACCACUAAAUACACUUUGUACUGUAGCUGUAUUCAUCCUACAAAGAAACGUCCCUUCUUGCUGUCUUCUGGUCAUCUUAGUUUGUUUGACGUGAAACCUUCAUCGUCCAGGGAAGAAUCAUGAUUAAUUAGCUCCCUCCUGGACUUUUCCGAGGACUUUGAUAUGAGAU
Molecule: non-coding RNA, 1799 nt
Organism: Triticum urartu
Lineage: Eukaryota; Viridiplantae; Streptophyta; Magnoliopsida; Poales; Poaceae
Source: RefSeq, a predicted model, not a curated record